Molecule: ribosomal RNA, 162 nt
Filed under: uncultured bacterium
Lineage: Bacteria
Description: partial 16S rRNA
Rfam family: Bacterial small subunit ribosomal RNA
Source: RNAcentral
GGAAUCUUCGGCAAUGGGGGCAACCCUGACCGAGCAACGCCGCGUGAGUGAAGAAGGUUUUCGGAUCGUAAAGCUCUGUUGUAAGAGAAGAGCGUGUGUGAGAGUGGAAAGUUCACACAGUGACGGUAACUUACCAGAAAGGGACGGCUAACUACGUGCCGG